RNAcentral lists this ribosomal RNA (493 nucleotides) under uncultured bacterium. RNAcentral's name for it is "partial 16S ribosomal RNA". It matches the Rfam family "Bacterial small subunit ribosomal RNA", at positions 29 to 523 of the family's 1533-position model. The record is from RNAcentral.
AUUGGACGCUGGCGGCAUGCUUUACACAUGCAAGUCGAACGGUAACAGGUUAAGCUGACGAGUGGCGAACGGGUGAGUAAUGCAUCGGAACGUGCCCGGUCGUGGGGGAUAACGCAGCGAAAGCUGCGCUAAUACCGCAUACGAUCUGAGGAUGAAAGCGGGGGACCGUAAGGCCUCGCGCGAUCGGAGCGGCCGAUGUCAGAUUAGGUAGUUGGUGGGGUAAAGGCUCACCAAGCCGACGAUCUGUAGCUGGUCUGAGAGGACGACCAGCCACACUGGGACUGGGACACGGCCCAGACUCCUACGGGAGGCAGCAGUGGGGAAUUUUGGACAAUGGGCGCAAGCCUGAUCCAGCAAUGCCGCGUGCAGGAAGAAGGCCUUCGGGUUGUAAACUGCUUUUGUACGGAGCGAAAAGGCUCUCUCUAAUACAGGGGGCUCAUGACGGUACCGUAAGAAUAAGCACCGGCUAACUACGUGCCAGCCGCCGCGGUAA